UACCUGCACACAUGCGUGGGAGCGGGCUGGUGGUGCAUGCGUGGAGUGGGACGGACCUGCAUGGUGCAUGUGUGGGAGGAGGCUGGUGGUAUGCAGUUCAUGUGUGGGAAGAGGCUGGUGGUGUGCACACACAUGUGGGAGCUGGAUGGACCUGUCUGGAGCACUCAUGGGAGGGGUCUGCUGCUGUGCACACACAUGUGGGAAGACGCUGGUGGGGCAGGGUGCAUGUGUGAGAAAGGGCUGGUGGUGUGCACACAUGCAUGGGAGCAGGAUGGACCUAUGCACACACAUGUGAGAGCAGGCUGGCAAUGCAUGAUGAACAUGUGGGAGCGGGAUGGCUUGGAGAGGAGUGAGAUAGACCUGCACAAAUGUGCGUGGAAGUGUGGAUGGGGAGUGGUGUGUGCAUGGGAGCAGACUGGAUCUGCAUACACAUGUAUGGGAAUGGGCUGCUGCUGUACAUAUGCACGUGGGAGUGGGCUAGCAGUUCAUGCUGCAUGUGUGGAAACGGGCUGGACCUGCACAUGCAUGGAUAUUGCUGCCGCACGUGUGACAUCCUUACAUAGAGCACCCACGUGUGUGCAUGCAUGUGUGCAUUCAUUUAUUAUUCUGUGUCCAUGUAUAUGCACACAUAUAUCUGCACAUACAUGCCUGACAGGGCCAAGAUGUCUUUAAUGUUGCAGGCAGCUCAGAAAAACAUUUUGGUGCAGAGCAGCAGGCCAUGCAUGAAAGCGGGUGUCAGUGAGCCCAGCAGAAUCACCCACUGUGAAGAUGUCUAAUAGGAACUGCUGAAUGCACAAUACGGGCAGCAUGGGCUGAAUGGCUAAAUUGGAGCGGCCAGAACACAGUCAGAAGGAGGAUCUUAGAAAACUUCAGGAUGAAUUCUGUUUAAGCUGAAAUUACCACGGAGCCACACUAGGACAGUUACAACGCUGCAGCACAGGGAACCCAUCCCGAACCACGGCAUGGCUCAGCUCAGCACAAAACUGGUUUGGGAGGAAGGAGGUGGGAGCACAAUUAUGUAUCACAGAGGGUAAGAAAGUUUUUAUUAUUUUCCUCUUUCAUGCAGAAGGAUGCUAACGGCUACUUUAAGGACAAGAAGAAAAAACAAGGACGCUUGCCGUAGCAUCGCUUGAUCCCUUGUGCCGAGGGAUGUCAACCUACUGUGGGAAAUGUGACACAGGGUUACACUUUAGGCUGGUCAACAAAAGUUGAUUUUGCAGAGGAAAGCAGUUGUUAUUUUACCCCAAAUUCAGGGCCAUGUGCGCUGUUCACUUUGAGACGCACGCACCGGGUACAGCCCCACACUUUUUCAAAAGAAAAGAGAGACCUGAGAAUUACUCAUCAUCUCUGCCUGGCAAGGAGAGUUGAAAUCAAAAUGGAGGAUUUUUUUGGGUAUCCGGGCACUUGUGCUGUUUGGAGCAUGCGGUUGGCUUAGCGGGAAAGGGAGGAGAGGGAUGCGUGCUGCACUGGAAGGGUGCGCGGCGAGUGUUUGCUGCUGACAGGCUGCGAAGUUUCACUUGGGAUACAGCUGGGUGGAAGAGGGAUGAUUGAAGGGGAGUGUGUCGAUGUGCGAGAGAGGUCAGGGGGAAACAGGGAAGGACUGAAACACACCUCCUGCAUUACCACUAUCAAUGGCUCUUUGAUGCUAUAGAAAUUACCCGGCUAAAACUUAAUAAGAAUUUCCUACCAACAACAUGCGCUAUGUGUAACUGUGUGUGGAGAUGCACAUGGGCAGGGAGAGGCGCAGAACAGCACGCUGUGGCAUAUGCCUGGGUGCAUUUGGCUUACCGAGUACAAGCGGGUGCUUUUUCCUAUGGGAUGCGUCUCCUGAACUACCUGAUUUAGAAAUGUUUGUUUAAACUGCGAAAAGUUACUUUGGUUUGUAUGGAAGAGAAGCAGAAGGCAGAAAGAUUUUUUUUUUUCUUUCAAAAUAAGGUAUCUCGAGGAAUGUGCAUUAUGUAACUAAUUUUAAUUUCGUGCAGUUACAAAUCAUAGAUUUGCUGUCCUUUUCCACAGAUUCAUGUGGAUCUACCAAAUAUAGUGGCAUUGAAAUUUCAAAUUUCUUUUUUUCUAUAGCACUCGCUUCAUAAUUAGAGUAAAAAAAAACUUCACUUAGAUUGUACUUAACAGAAUGCUGCAAAAUAUAAAAAUAUAUCAAGUGUGCGUGAAAGAAGAGCAAUCCAAAGCAUUGCAAAUAAUAACUUACAUCAUUAUUAUCCAUGCCAUGCAAUAAAAAUCAGUUUUGCUCAGCCAAAGAAGGAUUUAGCCUCUACUGAAAUAAGACAACGAAUUUUUUUUUUUUUUCCUGGAGAAAGAAAGACGGUGAGAAGCAACAUGAGACUCUGCAGAGCAGGACGACUCUAAUUGUUUUGUCUUUAUUAUGCAGUAUUCUUACUACACCACCACCCAUUACCCUUUCAGCGAUAAAGUCAGGCUGGAACGGUGACCUCGCUAAACCUGGUGCUGAGCAGUCUCUAUUGCACCCAGAGCAGCCUGUUCUCAAAAUACGAACGUGACAGAGAAAUCCGCAUUUCUGGAGUGAGGCAGGGAUGUUCUAUCAAUUCCCUGCUCAGGCUGCUGCACCAGUGUCGAGUUCUCCACCAAGUCUCUGUCACUCAAACACCCCAUUUUACCUCAAAAAUAAAAAAUUAAGCAUAAAUAAACUGCAAUGCCUUUUAAAAAAUUCACUGUAGUAUCUUGUUUGAUGGAAGACUGCCCGUCAGAGCAUCAAAGUUUUUGAGCAAAGGGCAGAUACCAUAUAUGUAAGAUGCAUGGAGAGUAAAAAUGUUUAGUUGGGAAUGACGCAGUGGAAAACAUUUUUAGUUGCUGCAUCGUACCUGCCACAUUAGUGGUACCCGGACUUUGAAAAGAUCUCCUUAGCAAAACAACACAGAAUCACCUCUGUUCUUCAGCAACAUGCUCAUAAAAUGGAAAGUCUCUGUGGCACGGGAGAGACAUGACACUUUAGACACUCUCUGCAAUUUUUCCAGUCUCUAAAUACCAGGCAUUUAAAAACUAAAAAUAAAACACCCACAGAUUCUGGAUUUUCAUGCUUUAUACACUUACUUUGAAAACAUCAGCCCUACAUCUGAAAAAUAAUUUUUUUUUUUGCCAAGAAAGUUACAAAUUUCACAAAGAAACUUAAAAAUAUGGGGUUUUACAUUGUGCUGCUCUGUUUUAUUCAUUCUUUACCAGUAAAAGUAAACUACACAGCAUCCACAGAGGGUAUCGGAGAGUCUGGAAGUAUCUAUAAACAUCUUCAUCACGUUUUCCUAAGGCACCCGCUUUGUUUAACCUCACAACGCUCUGCAUGCUACGAUACUUUUUUCCCCAGACAGUAUUUCUACCUGAAGGAAGAGAUUAGAUUUCUUUUCUUCAUUUUAAUUGCUUAUAAACAAUCAUCUCCUACCCUUUCUUUUUUCAAAACUGAAGCUGUUUGCAAAAGAUCUCUUUUGCUACCAGAAAUUUUUCGGGUCAUGUUGCCCUGCAUAGUUCAUGCAUAUAAGCGAGUCCAGCAUUUUUCUUCAACUGAAUGACACAGAUAAUGGGCUGCUACGAGAUACUCAGGCUCUUCUUUUAUUUCAGAAUUAAAAGCAAGUUCCACUCCCCACUUAAGAGAUUAGCUCAUAUUUAGCCUGUGCCCAUCCUCUAUGUUCACUGACUCAAAUAUCAGCAAAAGACAGCUUAAAAUAAGUGAAAAGUGUUGCAGAUGCACAAUCUGUGCACAAUACAGACACAGAGUAUAUAUAACACUCGCAUGGGAUAUUGCUAUGUAUAACAAAAUAUUGGUAUAAAUAUGCGCUGAUUUCAUUUAUGUACCGAAACAAAACAGAACAGAUUUUCAGCUACUAUCCAACUUUUUUUUCCCCUGCAGAUUUUUUGAAAUCUGUAUUUGCAUGUUCAUCCUCUCUGCGACAAGAGAGCUCAGAAUUCAUCAUCGAUGCAAAAAUCAGAAAAGACCCUCUGUACCAAUAGGUCAACACAUUCUUUUGCGAUUUUAAUAAUGGCCUGUCCUAUUACAUUUGUUAUUCAUAUAGAAUAAGGAUAGACAAUUUUUAGGUAUUAUAUAGCUUUCUUCUGGAAUAUUAGCUUUGUGGCUUUGAGAGGCCAUUUUCUAAAGAUCCUAAUAGUCAAGUGACAUCUUGGGAAAUGUUACAUUCUCACUGCAUUUGCAUGAUAAUGAAGAUGAAAUUUCAUAUACGCUACCUGAAUUAUACUUAUCUAAGUUUUGUUUUACCGAAUGACCAAAGGAAUAUGUUCCCUAAGCCAAAGGAUCGCAGUACAAUGCAAUACAUUAUUGCUUCUGUGAAAGACAUGAAACUAUAAUCCAAGUGAUAAAAAAACACCAACCCUGUGUAAUUUAUGUAAUAGCAUUAAUACAAUCUCAGCUGUGUUUCUCUGAAUAUUAUUUCCUUUGAAGAAAAUUCUACAGCAUCCACAAAGAUAUCCAAUGUGUAUUUUUUAAAAAUUAAGAAGGGGCAGCUCUGUGAUGUUCAGUGCUCCGUAGGACAGGAAUACAUCUUAACAGUUUAUUUUUUCAACAACACACAGUACUAUCAUGCACUGGGUGAAGUUCACACGUCAGCUUAAUCACUAGAUAUGAGCCACCCUUUGGGUAUAACCACAUUUCACCUCUUCCUACAGUAAAAUCCAUGUGUCAAAUAAUUUUCUGACCACAGAAAUGCAUUUUGUGGACAAUAAUAAUGGGCAUCUUUCCCAUAAUUAAGCACGUAGGCAAAUAUGUGCCUCUCAGAAAUUGCAGUGGUGGUUUUUGGAGCUCCUGAGCACGGGGUGAUUUUGCAGGAGAUGUUGAAAAGCUCCAGCCUCUACAAGGCUGAGCCAAGAACCUGGCUGCCAAACCUGGAUUUCCAAAGCUAGUUCCUGACACCACUUCAGAAACCAAAAGCAUGUUGUAAAGAAAUAUUUGUCCUCUCUGACCAAUACAGAGCUGAUCAAUUAUUGUUCAACUCAGCUAUUUACCUGAACUAUUCAUCUUGAAGUACAGCUCCAGAAAGCCAACAUCCAACUGCAGUUUUAUUCCAAAGACGCCACUUUUAAAAUAUUUUUCUCAGAUUGAAGAAAAUUUAGUAAAAAUAAUGCAAGUUCCAAACUGACAAUAUUAAUUUAAGUGAAGACACCAGCACACAGACUCUUAGAUUAAGUCUCCACUUAUAAGUGCCAAUUCUUUGAAGAGAGAGUAGUUUUGAUUUUUGCUGGAAGCUAUAGGCAUUGUUUUAAAGAAAACCCCCACAGGAUGGAACGAGUAGUAUACAUAAUGGUGAUUUUAUUUAACAUAGCUUUUAAAUACUGUGCUAUAACUGCAGAAACACAUCCAAAUUAAUAAAAAAAAAACCAACAACUUAUCCUGAAAAAAACCAAAAGGAAAGGUCUAUACUCAAAGGAACAUUGAAUAAAAUUGAGACAUCUGCAGUAAAGUUUCCCCUUCUCCCUAGAAUGUUUGAGAUGAACUCUGCGUAACACUGCCUUCCAAGAAAAGACAGGAUGAUCAAUGCAGGAGCACAUCAGGCUCCCUUGGACAGGCCAAUCAAUGCAAGAAAGAACCUUGCCCAGGGCCUUAUGCAAAUAGAAGCACGUCCUGCAACCCGGGGAGGGAACAUGCGCAGUAGAUCAAUGGCAUCUGAAAAACCUUACAGCUAUAUUAGCCUCAGACAGUAAAUAUAUAAUGAUGAAUCCCUCACGUUCGGUCGUGAGCUCCUUAAACUAGGUUAUUUUCAACAGCUGGUUUGAAAAAAACCUGCCAGGGCUGUAGACAGCAACAGCGGAGAAGCAGAGUGAGAUUACUGAGGGUUAAAUUAACAGGGUUUUUUUUUUUCCUUUAAGGUUGGGAAAAUAUAAGCUCUGUACUUUAACACCCUGUACAUCAUGGAAAGUUUGUGCCCACCAGGGUAGGAACCAUCAUAGGGGUGGCUGGGGUUUUGUGUCAUUAUUUUGAUAUUUUGAUGUUUUGAUAUUUUGAUUUGGCUUUUUUUAUUUUUUAUAAAAAUCCCAAAUCUACUCAGUAAGGUGCUUGGUGAUGUAGGAAAAAUUAAAAGGUUUAUUGUAUACAAGAACUAUAACACCGGAAAUCUAAUAUCACAAUUAUCAUCACUCUGUUGAUGGAAAUUUAUUCUGCCAAAGAAUAUUGCAAUUACAUUUUUUUGUAUGCUGUACUGUUUUAGUCCUUUAUGUUUAGUCCUUUAUGUUAAAGGAAUUCCACAAAAUGCUAAGGCUCAUAAGCAAAGCAGCUGACAUAAACACUAAUACUUCAAAAGCACUCCAAACUGGAAUAAAACUCGGUGAGGUUCACAGAGCAAUACGCAUGACCGCAGGAGCAUACAGGUUCACCAGCUACUUGGUAACUACACCAAAAUUGCUAAAAUAACAACAUCUUUCUGUGGAGACUUGUGGGGAAUGAUACCCUAAACAUUAUUCAUCACCUGUUCUUGGGAAAGGGGUGGGGAGAGAAAGGAGGAGGAUGAAGGAACAAGCAAAAAAGCUUGCAAAAACUUUUCCUCUGAAGAAACUCCUCUUUUAAAGAUCACUAGCGGCUCCUAACUUGCAUAACACAAAGGUGUAAUACUCCUGUCAGACAGCUAGAGCCACCUCAGGACAAAAUAUAAUCCAUAUAUUGACAAGCAAAUAAAAUGCCUUGGCUUAAUCAAGCUUUGUAAAAACCUCAUGCACUUUGGAUCUGAAUACUGCACGAUAUGGAGAUUCACUAUUGCAUUUAAUUUGCCUUAGAAAAUGGAAAAGACAGAAAAAUAGCUAAUUAAGCUAUUUAUUGUUCAUGUUUUUACAAGGAAACUUUACUCCUGUGUUUUGACACUUUGCAUUAAAAUCUUGGCUUAGUUCUAUGGUGUUAGAAUCACAAUUUUCUCAAUGAAUACAUGUGCAAAAUCUACUUACAUAUUUUUACUUCAUAUCACAUUCAAGCAAAGCCCUUAAAUAGGAUUAUUUUAACAUUUAAACACUGGUAGUCAUGCUAUUAUUAAUAUUAAAAUACUUCACUAAUAUACUGAAAGAGCUAUGUAACACAUCUUCCUUCACUAGAUUAAAGAAAGUUCUAGGAUAAAACACAAAUUCCAGCUGCUUCAUAUAGCACCACAGUUUUAGAGCUCCCUUCACCAGAGUAUGUUUGGAUUCCUUUUACACCACCUGGAUUUGCAAUGCCUAAUAUAUUAUUAACUUGCAGUUCCCCUGGUUGAUCCACUAAACCAGGUCUUAAAGUCUUAUAAAACCUCUACUGUUCCACACAAAAGACAUACAUACACUUUUCACCAUAAUUAACAUUUAAAUUAACAGUAACACAAUACACUUGUGUAGUCUUAUCCGUAUAAGAUUGUGCCACAGAAAUGGGAAGAAGCAUGAAAUAACAGCAAGACAACUUCCUUUUUUUUUUUUAAUGGUACUUGCAUUUAAAACAGAAUUUAAAACAGCCUAAUAUUUCAGAUAAAAUAAUCUAAAUGCACCACAAAACCUGUCAGGUAAUAACAUGUGUGAUUUUUCCACUUUCUUCAUUGUAUAAGCAAACCCAAAACUCCUACUUUUCAUCUUCAUUAGUGUUCAUCAUUAUAUUCAAAGAGAACAGCAAUCCUUUGAGACUGCAAUGAUGUCAUAGUUGUAAAAUCUUCAGUAUUAAGCUGUUCUUCAAACCAAUCUAGUGAGAUAACGAACAAUCUAAAAAGUUAAAUAAAAUGAGUUUUUUUAUAUUGAAAACAACCCGGGAGUCAGGUUGUUUGAACCUCCAGUCAGUCCAAUGCAUGGCCAUUUACAGAUGCA
Molecule: long non-coding RNA, 7779 nt
Organism: Cuculus canorus (common cuckoo)
Lineage: Eukaryota; Metazoa; Chordata; Aves; Cuculiformes; Cuculidae
Exons: 3
Source: RefSeq, a predicted model, not a curated record